Molecule: ribosomal RNA, 253 nt
Filed under: uncultured bacterium
Lineage: Bacteria
Description: partial 16S ribosomal RNA
Rfam family: Bacterial small subunit ribosomal RNA
Source: RNAcentral
UACAGAGGGUGCGAGCGUUAAUCGGAAUUACUGGGCGUAAAGCGUGCGUAGACGGUUAUUUAAGUCGGGUGUGAAAGCCCCGGGCUCAACCUGGGAAUUGCAUUCGAGACUGAAUAGCUAGGCUACGGUAGAGGGAAGCGGAAUUUCCGGUGUAGCGGUGAAAUGCGUAGAUAUCGGAAGGAACAUCAGUGGCGAAAGCGGCUUCCUGGACCAGUACCGACGUUCAGGCACGAAAGCGUGGGGAGCAAACAGG